Molecule: long non-coding RNA, 238 nt
Filed under: Lathyrus oleraceus (garden pea)
Lineage: Eukaryota; Viridiplantae; Streptophyta; Magnoliopsida; Fabales; Fabaceae
Description: Pisum sativum (pea) long non-coding RNA (PSAT_LNC008480)
Source: RNAcentral
AGGGUGCUUUGGCACUCCUCAAAUAAUUAAAACUAACCAGGUUUGUUUUAGAAAACUCAAGUUAAAAAUCAAAAAAGCCUUUAAAGUAUUUCUACAGAUUACAAUAUGUGAAACAUUACUUUAACUGCGAUCCUUACAUUCUAACCUUUAAAAGAUUUAGCCAGACAUGGUAACACAAACGAACACAACGGUGUUAAUCAUGAUGAAAAGUUUUUUUUAGAAUGUGAGGCGUAAAGAG